GAUGAAGAACGUAGCGAAAUGCGAUAUGUAAUGCGAAUUGCAGAAUUCAGUGAGUCAUCGAAUCUUUGAACGCACAUUGCGCCCUGUGGUAUUCCGCAGGGCAUGCCUGUUCGAGCGUCAUUUCAACCCUCAAGCUCUGCUUGGUGUUGGGCCCUGCCCGCUGCGGCCGGCCCUAAAGACAGUGGCGGGGCCGCCUGGCCCUGAGCGUAGUACAUCUCUCGCUCCAGUGCCCGGUGGUAGCCUGCCAGAACCCCAACUCUCGUGGUUGACCUCGGAUCAGGUAGGGAUACCCGCUGAACUUAAGCAUAUCAAUAAGCGGAGGA
RNAcentral lists this unclassified non-coding RNA (323 nucleotides) under soil metagenome. RNAcentral describes it as "partial contains 5.8S ribosomal RNA, internal transcribed spacer 2, and large subunit ribosomal RNA". The stretch from base 1 to 120 matches the Rfam family "5.8S ribosomal RNA", at positions 35 to 154 of the family's 154-position model. The record is from RNAcentral.